UACGGGGGGGGCAAGCGUUGUUCGGAAUUACUGGGCGUAAAGGGCUCGUAGGCGGCCAACUAAGUCAGACGUGAAAUCCCUCGGCUUAACCGGGGAACUGCGUCUGAUACUGGAUGGCUUGAGUUUGGGAGAGGGAUGCGGAAUUCCAGGUGUAGCGGUGAAAUGCGUAGAUAUCGGGAGGAACACCCGUGGCGAAGGCGGCUUUCUGGACCACUACUGACGCUGAGGCACGAAAGCCGGGGGAGCAAACAGG
RNAcentral lists this ribosomal RNA (253 nucleotides) under uncultured bacterium. RNAcentral's name for it is "partial 16S ribosomal RNA". It matches the Rfam family "Bacterial small subunit ribosomal RNA", at positions 524 to 776 of the family's 1533-position model. The record is from RNAcentral.